RNAcentral lists this ribosomal RNA (434 nucleotides) under uncultured bacterium. RNAcentral describes it as "partial 16S ribosomal RNA". It matches the Rfam family "Bacterial small subunit ribosomal RNA", at positions 29 to 507 of the family's 1533-position model. The record is from RNAcentral.
AGCGAACGCUGGCGGCAGGCCUAACACAUGCAAGUCGAACGAACCUUUCGGGGUUAGUGGCGGACGGGUGAUUAACACGUGGGAACGUGCCUUUAGGUUCGGAAUAACUCAGGGAAACUUGUGCUAAUACCGAAUGGGCCCUUCGGGGGAAAGAUUUAUCGCCUUUAGAGCGGCCCGCGUCUGAUUAGCUAGUUGGUUGAGGUAAUGGCUCACCAAGGCGACGAUCAGUAGCUGGUCUGAGAGGAUGAUCAGCCACAUUGGGACUGAGACACGGCCCAAAAUCCUACGGGAGGCAGCAGUGGGGAAUCUUGCGCAAUGGGCGAAAGCCUGACGAAGCCAUGCCGCGUGAAUGAUGAAGGUCUUAGGAUUGUAAAAUUCUUUCACCGGGGACGAUAAUGACGGUACCCGGAGAAGAAGCCCCGGCUAACUUCGUG